Molecule: ribosomal RNA, 599 nt
Filed under: uncultured Hymenobacter sp.
Lineage: Bacteria; Pseudomonadati; Bacteroidota; Cytophagia; Cytophagales; Hymenobacteraceae
Description: bacterial SSU rRNA
Rfam family: Bacterial small subunit ribosomal RNA
Source: RNAcentral
AGAGUUUGAUCCUGGCUCAGAUUGAACGCUGGCGGCAUGCCUUACACAUGCAAGUCGAACGGUAAAAGGAGCGAUCCUUCGAGAGUGGCGAACGGGUGAGUAAUAUAUCGGAACGUGCCCAGUUGUGGGGGAUAAUGUAGAGAAAUUUACGCUAAUACCGCAUGAGAUCUACGGAUGAAAGCGGGGGACCUUGCAAGAGGCCUCGCGCGACUGGAGCGGCUGAUAUCAGAUUAGGUUGUUGGUGAGGUAAAAGCUCACCAAGCCGACGAUCUGUAGCUGGUUUGAGAGAACGACCAGCCGCACUGGAACUGAGACACGGCCCAGACUCCUACGAGAGGCAGCAGUGGGGAAUUUUGGACAAUGGGCGAAAGCCUGAUCCAGCAAUGCCGCGUGUGGGAAGAAGGCCUUCGGGUUGUAAACUGCUUUUGUACGGAACGAAAAGGUCUGCCUUAAUACGGCGGGCCCAUGACGGUACCGUAAGAAUAAGCACCGGCUAACUACGUGCCAGCAGCCGCGGUAAUACGUAGGGUGCGAGCGUUAAUCGGAAUUACUGGGCGUAAAGCGUGCGCAGGCGGUGAUGUAAGACAGUUGUGAAAUCC